This 433-nucleotide ribosomal RNA is filed under the name uncultured bacterium. RNAcentral's name for it is "partial 16S ribosomal RNA". It matches the Rfam family "Bacterial small subunit ribosomal RNA", at positions 29 to 507 of the family's 1533-position model. The record is from RNAcentral.
AACGAACGCUGGCGGCAUGCCUAACACAUGCAAGUCGAACGAGACCUUCGGGUCUAGUGGCGCACGGGUGCGUAACGCGUGGGAACCUGCCCUUAGGUUCGGAAUACCUCCCCGAAAGGGGUGCUAAUACCGGAUAAUGUCUUCGGACCAAAGAUUUAUCGCCUUUGGAUGGGCCCGCGUUGGAUUAGCUAGUUGGUAGGGUAAAAGCCUACCAAGGCGACGAUCCAUAGCUGGUCUGAGAGGAUGAUCAGCCACACUGGGACUGAGACACGGCCCAGACUCCUACGGGAGGCAGCAGUGGGGAAUAUUGGACAAUGGGCGAAAGCCUGAUCCAGCAAUGCCGCGUGAGUGAUGAAGGCCUUAGGGUUGUAAAGCUCUUUUAACCGGGAUGAUAAUGACAGUACCGGGAGAAUAAGCUCCGGCUAACUCCGUG